RNAcentral lists this ribosomal RNA (547 nucleotides) under uncultured bacterium. RNAcentral's name for it is "bacterial SSU rRNA". It matches the Rfam family "Bacterial small subunit ribosomal RNA", at positions 110 to 645 of the family's 1533-position model. The record is from RNAcentral.
GUAACGCGUAGGUAACCUGCCUGGUAGCGGGGGAUAACUAUUGGAAACGAUAGCUAAUACCGCAUAAAAUGGAUUAUCGCAUGAUAAUCAAUUGAAAGGUGCAAAUGCAUCACUACCAGAUGGACCUGCGUUGUAUUAGCUAGUUGGUGGGGUAACGGCUCACCAAGGCGACGAUACAUAGCCGACCUGAGAGGGUGAUCGGCCACACUGGGACUGAGACACGGCCCAGACUCCUACGGGAGGCAGCAGUAGGGAAUCUUCGGCAAUGGACGGAAGUCUGACCGAGCAACGCCGCGUGAGUGAAGAAGGUUUUCGGAUCGUAAAGCUCUGUUGUAAGAGAAGAACGAGUGUGAGAGUGGAAAGUUCACACUGUGACGGUAUCUUACCAGAAAGGGACGGCUAACUACGUGCCAGCAGCCGCGGUAAUACGUAGGUCCCGAGCGUUGUCCGGAUUUAUUGGGCGUAAAGCGAGCGCAGGCGGUUAGAUAAGUUUGAAGUUAAAGGCUGUGGCUUAACCAUAGUACGCUUUGGAAACUGUUUAACUUGA